Molecule: non-coding RNA, 88 nt
Organism: Oryza nivara
Lineage: Eukaryota; Viridiplantae; Streptophyta; Magnoliopsida; Poales; Poaceae
Source: Rfam
GUAUUAUCGCGGGUUCCCUUCAAUCACUUCACAUGGUACUAUUUCAAGGCCUACUAUGUGAAGUGUUUGGGGGAACUCUCGAUGUCAC